ACAGUUAUUGUCCAUACUUCUUAGUUAAGUCCGACCUAUCGUUCACAAGCAGGUGCAAGGCCGUCAUUGGAUCCUUCAUCUAACAGUUAUUGGAUCAAACUCCAUCCUUACCUUGGAGCAACUCUUUGCUGAUAGAGUGGUUGUGUGUUCCCGAUGCAACUGAACCACUGUUACCAGCCGAGAACAAUCAACGUCGGUAGCACGUCCGCACAUCUACAACGAUGGAAGACCUAUGGACUUAAUAUUUGUGGGAAGGUUUAGGUUUAGGUCUCAUCUAAUCAAUUAUCAUAUGACCGAUCUAAUUGGAAUGGACUAAACCAAACCGCUAAGCAAUCCAAUUUAAGAUCCAAUCUUUCAAAUUGGUCGGGUAAGUCGAGAUCGGUGGGGGUCCCCCUGUUGCUUUCCUUAGACACUAAUAAAUUGAUCAGAUAAGCGAAUGGAACCAAUUAAAUAACCACGUCUCAAUUACUUGUCUUAGACACCAAUAUGUCAAUUGGUCUAAAUAGGUUAACUCUAGCGAAUCGGGCUCAAAUCGUCGAGCCAAAUUAGGUCUUUACGUGAAUCGAUUCUACAUAUGGGACUCAAUCAAUUUGAUCAACAACAAUUGUAUGAUCAUUUAACUUAAUUGAUCUGAUCCUAAUCAACACUUGACUCGGUUCAAUCAAUUACUUAAUUGAAUUAAACUCGUAUGACUCAAAUCAAAAACCUUAGAUGCA
This 716-nucleotide long non-coding RNA is filed under the name Elaeis guineensis (African oil palm). RNAcentral describes it as "long non-coding RNA (EGUI_LNC076068)". The record is from RNAcentral. Lineage: Eukaryota; Viridiplantae; Streptophyta; Magnoliopsida; Arecales; Arecaceae.